RNAcentral lists this ribosomal RNA (253 nucleotides) under uncultured bacterium. Its description in RNAcentral is "partial 16S ribosomal RNA". It matches the Rfam family "Bacterial small subunit ribosomal RNA", at positions 524 to 776 of the family's 1533-position model. The record is from RNAcentral.
GACGAAGGAUGCAAGCGUUAUCCGGAUUCAUUGGGUCUAAAGGGAGCGUAGGUGGCCUUAUAAGUCAGUGGUGAAAUCUCGCAGCUUAACUGCGAAAUUGCCAUUGAUACUGUAGGGCUUGAGUAUAGUUGCCGUUGGCGGAAUAUGACAUGUAGUGGUGAAAUACAUAGAGAUGUCAUAGAACACCGAUUGCGAAGGCAGCUAACGAAACUAUAACUGACACUGAGGCUCGAAAGUGCGGGGAUCAAACAGG